This 497-nucleotide ribosomal RNA is filed under the name uncultured Glomeromycotina. Its description in RNAcentral is "partial small subunit ribosomal RNA". It matches the Rfam family "Eukaryotic small subunit ribosomal RNA", at positions 591 to 1092 of the family's 1831-position model. Lineage: Eukaryota; Fungi; Glomeromycota. The record is from RNAcentral.
CCAAUAGCGUAUAUUAAAGUUGUUGCAGUUAAAAAGCUCGUAGUUGAAUUUCGGGACCAAUAUGUCGGUCGUGCUUCGGUACGUACUUGCAUUAUUGGUUUCUCCCUUCUGAAGAACCAUGAUGUCAUUAAUUUGGUGUCUUGGGGAAUCAGGACUGUUACUUUGAAAAAAUUAGAGUGUUUAAAGCAGGCUCACGCUUGAAUACAUUAGCAUGGAAUAAUGAAAUAGGACGUUUGAUUCUAUUUUGUUGGUUUCUAGGAUCGACGUAAUGAUUAAUAGGGAUAGUUGGGGGCAUUAGUAUUCAAUUGUCAGAGGUGAAAUUCUUGGAUUUAUUGAAGACUAACUACUGCGAAAGCAUUUGCCAAGGAUGUUUUCAUUAAUCAAGAACGAAAGUUAGGGGAUCGAAGACGAUCAGAUACCGUCGUAGUCUUAACCAUAAACUAUGCCGACUAGGGAUCGGAUGAUGUUAUUUUUGAUGACUCAUUCGGCGCCUUACG